AGGCUUGAGUCCCCUCUGCUUUCCUUGAGCCUUCCUCCCUCCCCUCCUUGGACCUGCAGCUUCGCGCUCGCCCCCGGGCCUCUCCGCGCGCACCCCUGGCUCCUCGCUCCCAGGUGGAACGGCGCCUCGGCCUGCGGGAGGCCUGGGCUGGACCCCCGAGCCAGCCUGGGGCUCGGGGGCGGUGGCGCGUGGGGCGGGGCCCGGGCUGCGUGUGCGAGCGUCGGGCGCGGCUCAGGCCUCGGUCGCCGGCACUCCCGGAGUAGAGCAGACGGUGGUCCAGGCUCCAGAGAACCGGAAGGGCAAACAGAACAGCCUCUAUCUGAAACAUUUCUGGAUCUAGUGGCAGAAGAAAAAUGGAGAAUGUGGCAAACCAUGUGCUGACUCUGCACAUUUCUGCCUGAGAUCGACACACAUCAAUUUCACCAAUAUUUCAGCAGCCAAAGUGGAUUCUUCACCACUGAGCUACCAAAUGCUUCUUUGCUGCUGCUGAUCAAUGAAAUUUAUGACAAGAUCCGUAGCAUUCCGAAACCUACCGUGCCAAGGCAAAAGCAUCAUCAAUAAAACUUGCACGAUCAGCAGAAGAAAAGUCCUGGGAAGAGAAAGAAAAAAAGGAAAUUCCAUCAAAAACAGAUGUUAUUUCAUCAGGAGUUGUUACAGUGACUACAAUUGGGUGUGAAGAUAUCAAAGAAUCAUCCUCUUGCACAGGUUUUCACAGCAAAAUAGAGUGGUGGAGAGGCCUAGCCCUAUAGUCAAGCUUUGUGGAUUCACAGCUCAUUUUCUCGACAUGAUUGGAUCACUAAUCUUCAUGAGCAACAAGGACAUUUUAAACAUAGUGAGUGGCUCAGGUACUAAUAUCUGCCAUUACAGAGUCAAACUGAUGUACUGCAAAGCACACCAGAUGAAACCCACUGGAGACCUGCAUUGUCAAAACGUUAUUCACAGGCUUGAAAGAAAACAAUAAGCUUUUCUCAUAUGCUUGAAAUAUUUCAUAAUAAGAAAAACAAAAAGUAUUCCAUUGAGCCUAAAUGAGGUUACCGAGUAUGUGCCAGAAUCGUUCCAAAACCAUGAAUGCAGUACAGAACUGGCUGCAUCCUGUGUAAUGUGAGAGCCUAAACUGCUACCAAUGAAAACAGACAAACUCCGGGACACCAGUCCUCCAAGGGAGCCUAACUGACCACUGGCCUUCCCCCCACCUUGCUGUCACUUAGUAUUUCAGAGUAUUUUCUCAACUAAAACAGCUAAGUUUCAAAACGUCAGCUCUCAAGUGUAUAUUUUAUCAUAAUAUUAACUCAUAUGGUAAAAUAAUCCAAAGAUUUAUACUUAUGAAAUACAUAACAGAAACUUAUGAAUGGAACUGUGUUCCUUAUUUUUUGCCUUCCUAUAGUGUAUAGAAUUUUUAUAAAGUAUUUUGAUGGCUUUACUCAGAUGCAAUUUUUGUUGUUUUCACAACCCAAGAAGCAGUUUUAAACUCUUAGCAAUAAUCAUUUAAAAGUUUUGACUUGUUUUCACUUUACACUAACAGAUUUUUAGAAUCUCUUGAAGGUAGAUAUUCUUUAGAGGUAGAUAUAUCUUUAGAUAUUCCUUUUCCUCUACCAAAUUGCAAACACUUAAAUCAUUUUAUUGUUAGACUCAGAGAAAUAGGUACUUUAUUGUUUGUGAAAAUGUAAUUUGGAACAUAUUUUUGAAAGUCAGUUUGGAGAUACAUACAUAUACAUAAGUACAUGCACAUGUGUUAUAUAUGUGUAGAUGUGUGUAUAUACACACACGCAUAUGCUCAUACAUAUUUUGAGCCAAUUUCCUAAGAAUUUUCCUAUAGAAAUAUGAGAAAAUAUCAUUCCUAGUUUUUUAAAAGGCUGUUUAUUACAUUUUAUAGGUGUUUAUAGGUAAAAAAGUGGGAGCAAUUUAAGCACCCAAAUCUAAUGGGAAAGUUGAAUAAAUUACAUUAUAUUCAUAUCAUGGACUAUCAUGUAUCCAUUAAGUCAUUUGCAGAAAAACACCAAAUAACAUGGUAAAGUGUUGAUAUAUCGUAAAAACAUGUUACACAACACUAUAUAAAGCAUAAUAAUGCUAUGUAUGUGUCCAGAAAAAAAUGACUAGAAAACCAUCUGCCUAAAUACUAACAAUCACUAUACUUGAGUGAUGGGGUUAUAGAUGGAUUUUUUUUCUUAUAAUUUUUUUGCUUCUCAAGUUUUCUGUAGUGAAUGUCUCAUAAUAUAUUUUAUGAAAUAACUAACCAAAAUAAAUGUUACAAGUUUCUUGACGUAUUUGUACUUUGACCCAGCAAUUUUAUUUUUCAGACUACAUCCUAACAUAAGGAAAUACACUGUAAGUACACUUAAGAUGUACUUACAGCUUUGUUCUUUCUGACUUGUUUAUAGUAAUAAAAUACUGGAAUCUACUCAAAUGUCUAGCAUUAGUGAAUUGGUUUUAAAAAGUAACAAUGUAUUCAUGCAAUGGAAUACUGCUCAGUCUUUAAAAUCAGAUUCUUGAAAAUAUUUAAUAAAGGGAAAUGUUUACAAUAUAUUCAGUUAAAAGGCAUGUGGAUAGAGAAAUAUGUAGAGAUAAUUUAAUUACAAUUUUGAUUACCUAAAAAAAUUAGAAUAUCCAUUAGCAUGUUAACAGGGCUUACCAAUGGAUGGUGAAAUUAUUUAUAUGUUCUUUUGAUUUCCCUUUUUAUAAUUUCUAUGCUUUCAACAUUUGUAAUUUUUAUAAACAGAAAAAUAUGUAAACAAUGAAACUUUAUUCUAUAGUAUAUAGAAUUGUCUUAUUGCUAGUAAUAUUAAUAUAUGCUAUCUAUAUAAACAUGAUCCCUCCAAAUAUUUUUUCAAACUAUCGUUUCUAAUCUACUCAGUUUAAUACUAUACCACACAAUAAGAAUGUUGAAAUAUUUUAUUUUAAUCCCUUGGUCUUUCUGAUAAACAACAGGUAGCAUUUUGACCAAAAGAUUUGCUUUGCUCUAUAAAAUGCUUCAAACAACAUAGGGAUAUUCAGAGGGCUGGCCUUAAACUUUCUCUAAACAGUGACAUAAGGUUUCUUUUCUCUUUUUUUAGAAUAUAAAUACUUUUUAUUGUAUAUACUAAGUUUGAUUGAGUGUCAAAGAUUUGCUUAUACAUUUUUAGUUGCCAACUUUAGUUUUAGUUGCCAAAUUUUAAGGUUUCUCCAUUCUUCACUUGUUCAGAAUCGAAGUAGGUAAAAGUCAAAACAGUUUCAAGUUCAGUGGUGCCUCAGGUGUAACCUUCCUCUCUGAUGCAAGAACCAUACCCACAGGGUGAAGUUUUUUUAAUUCAUUGAGAGAGUUUAUGUCUUUGACAUAAGCCUCUGACUAAAUGAAAGACAAGUAACUAUUUGUCUCAGGGAAUGCAAAUAUAUAUACAGGUGUACUUGGAGGGCUCUUUGUGUGGGGAUAUUUUUAUGUCCUUAAUUGCUUGAUAUAUCUUUUUUGUCACAAAAGACUGAGCAUAACUACUGCAUACUGCAUGAUAGAUAAUAAGCCCAAAGAUUUAUCCAUGUGCUGCUACUGAUGCAUGGACUCAAUGAGUAUUUAUUGAGUAAAACAUAGUUCUGGCCAUUUGAGAUAAAAAAGACACAGCUGUUCCUUUCUUAAGUGAAAACACAAAGACAGUUACAUGAAUUUUAUAUACUCUUUUUCGAUGUUUAGUCUCCAAUAAAACAAAAAAUUAUAAUUGAUAUUUACUGAUUUUCACUUAAAUUUAGUAUGAUAUCAUUUUAAAAGUUCAGCUUAAAAUCAUUGCCAUAUAGCCCACAAAUAUCACCCGUGAAAGUUACCAAAAACAUAUUUUUAAAGGUUCAGGUAGUUUAUAUAAAUAUUAAGGAUAAAAUGCAGUAUAUUAUGAUUUUUCCUGAUGAAAAGAAGGACUUACACUGAUUUUUUGGACUCCGUGCAGCUCAUUCAAUAGUUUCAAAUUUUGUGAUAGGCUUUGAAAAUACAACAGGGCAAGAGUUUUUGCUACCCAGAGGAACAGGCAGAAAUGAAGUCAGGUUUAGAUAAAGAUCAGACCAUGAAAAUAAUUGAAAGGUGAAAAGAGAAAAGGAAAGGAAGAGAAACGGAAAGCAAAGAUAAAAGCUUCGGAAGAACAAAGCAAAAAAAAUUUUUUUUUACUUGGUU
Molecule: long non-coding RNA, 4126 nt
Organism: Bubalus bubalis (water buffalo)
Lineage: Eukaryota; Metazoa; Chordata; Mammalia; Artiodactyla; Bovidae
Exons: 9
Source: RefSeq, a predicted model, not a curated record